This 414-nucleotide ribosomal RNA is filed under the name Triticum aestivum (bread wheat). Its description in RNAcentral is "partial small subunit ribosomal RNA". Lineage: Eukaryota; Viridiplantae; Streptophyta; Magnoliopsida; Poales; Poaceae. The record is from RNAcentral.
AUGGAACAAUGGUUCCAGUUGGAGGAAAUUGCCAAAAGCAUUACCUUUACUGUCGAGCCGGAUGCCUUGAUUUGGCAGCUGGACAAUAAGGGGAAGUAUUCCUCCAGCUCCCUCUAUCAUGUUAUCAACUUUAGAGGGGUUCAACCCGUGUUUAUCCCUGUUGUCUGGAAAUUGAGAGUUCCCCCUAAAAUUCAUGUAUUUAUCUGGCUUCUCUCCAAAAACAAAUUGAUGACUAGGGAUAACCUUAGGAAGAGACACAUCAUCAAACCCCUUGAUUGUGUUUACUGCUUGGAACAUGAGUCUUGUUCUCACCUAUUUUUUGAAUGUAUAGUUGCUAAACAUCUCUCGACCCACAUUGAGGAAUAUUUCUCUAGUCAGAUUGGCUCAUCCUUCGAAUCUGUCACGAGAUUCUAG